Molecule: ribosomal RNA, 253 nt
Filed under: uncultured bacterium
Lineage: Bacteria
Description: partial 16S ribosomal RNA
Rfam family: Bacterial small subunit ribosomal RNA
Source: RNAcentral
GACGUAGGGGGCGAGCGUUGUCCGGAUUUAUUGGGCGUAAAGCGUGCGUAGGCGGCUGCGCAAGUCGGUUGUGAAACCCCGGGGCUCAACCCCGGAACUGCAUCCGAUACUGCGUGGCUAGAGGUAGGUAGGGGAGAUCGGAAUUCCUGGUGUAGCGGUGAAAUGCGCAGAUAUCAGGAGGAACACCGGUGGCGAAGGCGGAUCUCUGGGCCUUGCCUGACGCUGAGGCGCGAAAGCUAGGGGAGCGAACAGG